GGCCUGUGGUGAAGCAGAGCAUCUUAGUGGGAGCAUGUGGAGAAAGAACUCACCUCAUGGAGACAGUGAGAUGGACAAGAAGCAGUCCGACCUUUACAACACCUUCGACAUUCCCUUAAAGGGCAUGCCCUCAAAGGACUUCACUUCCAGUAGGCCCUGCUUCCCAAGGAGUUUACCUCCCAACAUGCUAGGAGCUGGACCAAGCCUUUAGACACAUGAGCCAUGGAAACCAUUGCAAGUUUCUAGGAGAACCAACCAUGUUACGGAGUACUUCGUGGGGAGCCUGGGACACACUGAGCAUUGUGUUGUUGGUGUGAAACUCUUGUUCCAGUGCGGCCAAGUGAGAUGCUGUUACCUCACAUGUGAAAAGCCACAUGAUCUGUAAGGCCUUCAGGACCCCAAAACUCUCAGAAUGGGCUUAAGGCUGUUCUGGAACUAGCUACAAGUGAGUGAGCUACACCCUGAACCCGUCCCCAAAGCAAGGGCUUCUUGGGACUAACCAGGAGAUUACCACCCAGGCUGCAAGCAGGGAUGCUUCCUUCCGUGAAAGCAACAGAGGGACUCAGAAGUCCA
This is a non-coding RNA of Peromyscus maniculatus bairdii (prairie deer mouse), 573 nucleotides long. Lineage: Eukaryota; Metazoa; Chordata; Mammalia; Rodentia; Cricetidae. The record is from RefSeq and is a predicted model, not a curated record.